This 320-nucleotide ribosomal RNA is filed under the name uncultured eukaryote. RNAcentral describes it as "partial 18S ribosomal RNA". It matches the Rfam family "Eukaryotic small subunit ribosomal RNA", at positions 1470 to 1796 of the family's 1831-position model. The record is from RNAcentral.
CCCCUAGAUGUUCUGGGCCGCACGCGCGCUACACUGAACAGUUCAACAAGUCUUAACCUUGGCCGAGAGGUCUGGGUAAUCUUUGAACGCUGUUCGUGAUUGGGAUAGACCUUUGCAAUUAUGGGUCUUCAACGAGGAAUUCCUAGUAAACGCAAGUCAUCAGCUUGCAUUGAUUACGUCCCUGCCCUUUGUACACACCGCCCGUCGCACCUACCGAUUGAAUGGUCCGGUGAAAUCUCGGGACGGCGGCUUGGUCGCUUGCGUCCGACUGCUGAAACUUGAUUAAACCAUAUCAUUUAGAGGAAGGUGAAGUCGUAACA